RNAcentral lists this ribosomal RNA (372 nucleotides) under uncultured organism. Its description in RNAcentral is "bacterial SSU rRNA". It matches the Rfam family "Bacterial small subunit ribosomal RNA", at positions 526 to 896 of the family's 1533-position model. The record is from RNAcentral.
CGAAGGGUGCAAGCGUUACUCGGAAUUACUGGGCGUAAAGCGUGCGUAGGUGGUUCGUUAAGUCUGAUGUGAAAGCCCUGGGCUCAACCUGGGAAUGGCAUUGGAAACUGGCGAUCUAGAGUGCGGUAGAGGGUAGUGGAAUUCCCGGUGUAGCAGUGAAAUGCGUAGAGAUCGGGAGGAACAUCUGUGGCGAAGGCGACUGCCUGGACCAGCACUGACACUGAGGCACGAAAGCGUGGGGAGCAAACAGGAUUAGAUACCCUGGUAGUCCACGCCCUAAACGAUGCGAACUGGAUGUUGGGUGCAACUAGGCACUCAGUAUCGAAGCUAACGCGUUAAGUUCGCCGCCUGGGGAGUACGGUCGCAAGACUG